Molecule: long non-coding RNA, 2184 nt
Organism: Takifugu rubripes (torafugu)
Lineage: Eukaryota; Metazoa; Chordata; Actinopteri; Tetraodontiformes; Tetraodontidae
Source: Ensembl
UAAACUGCGGUCUCAAUCUUUGGAAAAGCCAAUCGAUCCUAGAGUUGAUUUAUUAUUUAAAAGUCUGCCCGCUGCUUAUUCCGGACAUCUCCGUGGAAUUUGACAAGAUAGAAAAGUGCCCUCUGCAGCUGAGGGGUCAAAGGACCCUGGUGAGAGAGCCACAGGGGGGCAAUUGCAGCUUUCACACUCACAAGGUGACUACAAUUAAAAGGAAAGACUGCAAAUAUUGACACAUUCAACUUUAUUUUGGUUGUGUGUGAUUUUCUGGGAGGACUGUACUGUUUGAUUUCAUAUUAAAAACAUUGGCUUAACUUCAACCUGGAUCGGCUGGGCUCUGUCAGUGGGUCAUGAAGAUAAAUGGUCUGUUCCUCACCUGAAGAAUGGCAUUACAUGUAUCAGGAGCUUCCUGCUGCUGCUGCUGCCUCAACAUGCAUUGUUGGCCAGAGCACGUCUGCAUCCACUGGUGAUUCGCCAGUGUCACGUCCUGCACACUCGUUCUCUGUGAUACCCUCUGUUGUUCCAGAAACAACCCAUGCAGGUGACACAUCAGUCACCCUUCCUCCUCCAGAGAAGUCCAGUCAGCUCUACUGAUGUCUCCACUGCUCCAGUAAGGUCGAGGAUAAAUGUUUCAAUGUUUGAAAGAUCAAGGCUUGGUGGAAAACGUGAGAGCUGCAAAGCCAAACCUGAACGUUUCCAGAAAACCUUCCCAGGUGAAUAUAAGAACAUAUUAUGAAGUUUGGCAUGUACAUACAAAUGUAUGACAGUGGCAAAUAAAACAUGUACAAUAACAUGUCACAUCUAUAUAACCCCAUAGGUACCAGUGACUGCAUCGGGACAUGAGGGUCCUGGGGCAGCUUCAGCCAUCGACCCAUCUCCUGAUCCUGUCCCAUUGCCAAAGCAGCCUCAUCAACCUUCCCCAUCUCGUCCAACUGUUUCCGCAUCCCCAGACACCUUCCUUGCUCCCCCAUUACCACCAUCUGUGCAGCCACCAGCACCUGCUCAGCCUGUGACGGAUCAUACUGUUGUGAGCAACCUGGUAAAAACAGUCAACAUCAAUAGAUAAAAGUGAUGAUACUUUUGUUUUGCCUUAAACUAUUGCAUGGGAUGAGUCUUAAAAGGCAGGUCUCCUUGUUUUUCUGAACUUUAACAGAACCCCUUUCAGCCAGAGCAUUCUGCUGCUCUCCCACUGCUGUGGCCAAAGACAAUGCCACAGCAGGACCACAAGUGGGUGUCAUCAGCUUUGUUCAGGGUUGGUUCAGGUGGAAAGUUGGAGUUGCGUGACCAGCUUCAGCUGUGGUAUUACCCUCCACAGCCAUCUCUGGUGUACCACCAGGCUCCAACCCCUUUGCCGUACGGCUGCUCUGCUUAAAGCCAGCAUGUAAUGGGCAUCCACAGGCCAGCGGUGGUCUUCACAGGAGAGUGCGCCAGGUCCUUGAUAUUGACCGCUAUUACAACUUGGUCACAGAGACCCUGAUAUGCAGGCAAUUCUCCAGCAGCUGGACCUGGAACACCGCUCAGAGUUUAGGGUCAUCCUGACACGCAGGUACACGACACAAAUACAUACAUAUGCACUCACUACACAUAUUUACACAUCAAAAUGUAGUUUGGAGAAAGAGAGAAUAUUUUUUUUCCUUUUUAAAGAUAUGCCUGUGACAUCAGAGUGAUCCGUCUAGAUGCCUCUAGACUGCUGCAACCACAUUUUAGGAGCCCCCAGUAUCAGCGGUGUUACCAAGCUAUAAGUGGCUCCUUGUUGUGUACAGUCAAGAUAUCCUGAACAGGCUGGAGGAUAUUGAGGCUAAGAUAACUUCAGUCUAUGGAUGCAUUUUAAAAAUGGACUCUACUAAGACGGUUAGAAUUUGAAUAGCUCUAAUCUUCCAAAUAAUAUACACUCAAUCUUUACAUAAAUGUUCUGACGGUUUUUGAAUUUUCAGAUCACCAAGAAGCUCAGUGGACCUGCCAAGGGCACUGUCCGGUGGCUGACUUCUGUGGGGAACAAAAUGGGUCAGGUACUCAUUAGUGUCCUAACAGCCAGUGAGGGUCCAGCAUUGGAUCUUAUGGCCGCAGGCCUGAUGGACAGGUAAUAAUGACAAUACUGAUGAACUAUGAGCUAUUUAAAAGCACAUGUUAUAAACUGCUUACCAGAAUUGCAAAAAUGAAAGUGACAUUAUGGAUGGAUUCAGAAUA